Molecule: transfer RNA, 72 nt
Filed under: Ferruginibacter sp.
Lineage: Bacteria; Pseudomonadati; Bacteroidota; Chitinophagia; Chitinophagales; Chitinophagaceae
Description: tRNA-Met
Rfam family: tRNA
About the family: Transfer RNA (tRNA) molecules are approximately 80 nucleotides in length.
Source: RNAcentral
UGUGGUUUGGAGUAAAGGUUAACUCAGAAGUCUCAUAAGCUUCAGAUACAAGUUCGAGUCUUGUAGCCGCAA